UACAGAGGUCUCAAGCGUUGUUCGGAUUCAUUGGGCGUAAAGGGUGCGUAGGUGGCGGGGCCAGUCAGGUGUGAAAUCCCGGGGCUUAACCCUGGAACUGCAUUUGAUACUGCCUUGCUGGAGAACUGGAGAGGAGACUGGAAUUUACGGUGUAGCAGUGAAAUGCGUAGAUAUCGUAAGGAAGGCCGGUGGCGAAAGCGAGCCUCUGGACAGUUACUGACGCUGAUGCACGAAGGCCAGGGGAGCAAACGGG
Molecule: ribosomal RNA, 253 nt
Filed under: uncultured bacterium
Lineage: Bacteria
Description: partial 16S ribosomal RNA
Rfam family: Bacterial small subunit ribosomal RNA
Source: RNAcentral